GGGGUUGUGGCUCAGCGGUAGAGCGCUCACCUUGCACGAGCGAGGCCCUGGGUUCGAUCCUCAGCACCA
Ictidomys tridecemlineatus (thirteen-lined ground squirrel) is the source of this 69-nucleotide non-coding RNA. NCBI's taxonomy places the organism in Eukaryota, Metazoa, Chordata, Mammalia, Rodentia, Sciuridae. The record is from Rfam.